Molecule: ribosomal RNA, 506 nt
Filed under: uncultured bacterium
Lineage: Bacteria
Description: partial 16S ribosomal RNA
Rfam family: Bacterial small subunit ribosomal RNA
Source: RNAcentral
GAUGAACGCUAGCUACAGGCUUAACACAUGCAAGUCGAGGGGUAACGAGAGGAAAGCUUGCUUUCCUUGUCGACGACCGGCGCACGGGUGAGUAACGCGUAUCCAACCUGCCCCCAACUAGGGAAUAACCUUGCGACAGUAAGACUAAUACCCUAUAAUUUCCUCAGAUGUCAUCUGACGAGGAAAAAAGAUUUAUCGGUUGUGGAUGGGGAUGCGUCUGAUUCGCUUGUGGGCGGGGUAACGGCCCACCAAGGCAACGAUCAGUAGGGGUUCUGAGAGGAAGGUCCCCCACAUUGGAACUGAGACACGGUCCAAACUCCUACGGGAGGCAGCAGUGAGGAAUAUUGGUCAAUGGGCGGAAGCCUGAACCAGCCAAGUAGCGUGCAGGAUGACGGCCCUAUGGGUUGUAAACUGCUUUUAUACAGGAAUAAAGUUAGCCACGUGUGGUUAUUUGUAGGUACUGUAUGAAUAAGGACCGGCUAAUUCCGUGCCAGCAGCCGCAGUAA